UACGUAGGUGGCAAGCGUUGUCCGGAUUUACUGGGCGUAAAGAGCGCGCAGGCGGUCGAUCAAGUCGCGUGUGAAAGCCCCCGGCUCAACUGGGGAGGGUCACGCGAUACUGAUCGACUCGAAGGCAGGAGAGGGUAGUGGAAUUCCCGGUGUAGUGGUGAAAUGCGCAGAUAUCGGGAGGAACACCUAUGGCGAAGGCAGCUCGCUGGGACGUUACUGACGCUGAGACGCGAAAGCGUGGGGAGCAAACAGG
RNAcentral lists this ribosomal RNA (253 nucleotides) under uncultured bacterium. Its description in RNAcentral is "partial 16S ribosomal RNA". It matches the Rfam family "Bacterial small subunit ribosomal RNA", at positions 524 to 776 of the family's 1533-position model. The record is from RNAcentral.